CAACAAUAGAGUGGUGCGUACCAUUAUGUCAGUUCGCAAUAGGUGCAUCUCCACAAGAUCAAACGUGGUUUCACUUACUUUACAUUAAGAAAAUCUGAAAUUGUAAAUGUGUACUAAAGCAGUGGAUAUGCCUGCCGCAAUGUAUGGGAUCUACUUGAUUGCAGCCGAUUAAUUACCCAUAACACUACAUUCGUUUCUGUGGAUCCCUUUCUGAAGGGAGUGACUUGAUCCAUCUCCACUGCUGCUUUUUACCAGGACUCCUUUUACACAGGGUAUCAGUGGCACUUCUAAUAUGGACCCAGGCUGGAGAUUGCGAUUACUAGAUACGAUUGAACGCUCUUAACUCAGUAGGAAUGGGAAGAAAAUAAGACGAACCGAACACACUUAUCAGGUAGCGGCAGCCCAGCAGAGCCAUGCCGUUGGUGAAGCGCAGCAUCGAGCCCCGGCACCUGUGCCACACGGUGCUGCCCAGGAACAUCAAGAACGAGCUGGAGUGUGUCACCAACAUCUCCCUGGCCAACGUCAUCCGCCAGCUGAGCAGCCUCAGUAAGUAUGCGGAGGACCUGUUUGGGGAGCUGUUCAACGAGGCCCACACCUUCUCCUUCCGGGUCAACUCCCUGCAGGAGCGUGUGGACCGCCUCUCCAUCAGCGUCACCCAGCUGGACCCCAAGGAGGAGGAACGUGAGUGGUCCCGCACGGCCCGAU
Molecule: long non-coding RNA, 705 nt
Organism: Gadus macrocephalus (Pacific cod)
Lineage: Eukaryota; Metazoa; Chordata; Actinopteri; Gadiformes; Gadidae
Exons: 3
Source: RefSeq, a predicted model, not a curated record